GGCUUUUUGAAAGAGAGUGAUAAUGCCUCCACAGCAAUGACAGUUCAUCUAUUGCCUGUAUACAGAUAGAACUUAUGUGCAGGCCCAGUAUAUUUUACAAAACGAUCCCUUUUUCCAGUCCUCAGAUUCUUUAUGUGUGAAGCAUGCUGACAUGAAACAGGUUUUUGUGUCCUAUUCCUUCAAUCCUCUACUGCCAUUUCUAAUGUUCCUGAAUUAUAUAUUUGUAAAUCUCAAAUCUUGAUAUAGGAGUGCCAAAAUAUAACUGCAUCAAAAGGUUUUUUUAUAUCCAGCUCUAUAUAUGCAUAUUGAUUUCCUACUAGACCUCUUGGUGGUGUCUCUUAUCUUGGGCUGAAACUUGAACCCUUAUCGCUCCCUGAGUUUUAGCAUGACAACUUCCGAUCCCGUCACUGCCUGCUCGCCUGGUUCCUACAUAUUCACAUAUACACAACGUUUUUGUAUGAAUUGUUAUUCCUAAUUGGUAAAAUGCAGGCUUACGCACCCGCAGAAUCCAGAUGCAGAUUUCCACAGAAUUAGAUCACCUUUCCUACUCAUCCGCUUGCACGUUUGUUUUUAUGAAAUGCUUCAUAUAGUCAAAUGAUACUGUUUUAUUUAACAUAUUUUACCCUGAUUAAAUCCAUCUCAUAGAUUUUCUGUCACAAAAAAGUCUGCUGAUUAAAAUAUAAUAAAGAGUACUGAUAAAGAGUGGCCAAUGCAACAUUUCAAAUGAGUCUCUUUUGUUAGAAAUGGAUAUAUGGUCUUUGAUUUAAUGCUUGCAUGUUAUGCUAAAGAAAACUACCACUGCUAAAAAACUUACCCUUACUUUAAUGUGGAAAAAAUAUGAAAUGAAGAUGUACUAUUUAAUGUACAUUAAGUAUUUAUAAACCAUGGUAGUCUUAUGCUGCUUAUUACUGUAAUUAUUUGACAUAACAAAAGUUGCCAUUGUGAACAAAGAAUUACAGAAAAAAUUAAAACAUUAAUGUAAUUGAAAUUAUGCCACAAUGCAAAAUUCCUAAUGGUUUUCAUGUAAAGUUUAUGACUCCCCAUUUUUUUUCAAAUGUUGGAGGGGGGUGGGAGGUCAGUUAUGUAUAACUUCUAAUAUAACCCUGUCUCUGGUAGUGUUUCUGUCCUUUGGUGAUCAAUACUCUUCCUUUCCAGUAUAUAUCAGCUAUUUUUAUCUUUUUAGGUCUUAGUUUACGAUCAUCUUGCAUUUCUGCUCUGUGAGUACUUUUACGUAGAGCGCUAUGUUUACUGUUACACUAAAUAUACACCAAGACUUUUGUAAAUACAGAGAAGGCAUACAUUAUCCUGCAGAUUUUAUACUAAGAACUGAAUGUGCUUUUACUAACUUAGAUGGUUUCUAUGUUUAGACGAUCCAAAAAGACUAGUUUGGCUAAUUUGAGAUUUGAACUGUGGCAUCUGCAAACCUUUGUUACAUGUAAUUCUUGUAUUUAUCUGCUCUGUUUUCUAUGCUGAUAGUAUCUAAGCUGUAUGUAGACUGACUGGGCUCUGUGCUCCUAAUACUGUACGUGUGUUUGUACUGCAGCUGCUGUGUGCAUGAUGGGGAAAUCGGUGCAUGCAAAACGUGUUGCAUGAUUCCAGGAAUCCGGAGUCCUCUAGCAUAGAAUGAUCGUUACACCAAGUACAAUAUCUGUCCCACCUCAACUUUUUUCCUUUGUGUCAUUGCUUUUGUUCCUGUCUGUGGAUGAAGGUUUAGACUCUGUUAUGUGUAGAUUCCGACCACUGAUGAGCAACUCUGUCUGAAUGAUCUGUACGACAACUGGGUCGACGGGGAAUUUAGUUUUACCACACUUCAGACAUCAUUUUGUGUAUUCUAGUAAAGAAAAGUACCUCAGAAAUGCUGUAUUUACACAUUAGAUUGCUCGGUUUGGGCUCUAGUCUUGUGCCAAGCCCUCGGUGGAAAUACUGUAGUUAUCAGGUGCACCACUGUUCAGUUUCACAAUAGAUUCACAUUUUUUUGAUCUGUCAUUUAUCAGUAUGUUUUUUUUUUUAGAAAUGUAAUAGACCUUCAGAUGUUUAUUUCUUCAUUCGUUCAGAAGUAAAUGGAUACAUGAUGAACAAGUGGAAAUAGAGCCGGUCCUCUUAUGAAGUGAUGCAGACCGUUUUUAAGUGGUUGUCUUGCAGGAUGCAGGUUUACACAAGUGUCUCACAUUGAGAGUAUUUGGGAAUGUAACGGUCACGUGUUUGAUUGUGGUUUUGCUGCAUGUGAGAUGACAUUCUAACAUUCACUGGACAUUUGAAGAAUAUGAACAUUCCACCAAGCCAUUUCUUAUUAGAGAUUCUAUCAGGAAUUAUAAAUAUACAUUUAAUAUUAUUACAUUUUGGAUUCCAGGACAGUGUUUAAAUUUAAUAGGUUGAAUCAGUCAUAUUUGUUAGUUUUUUUCUGUAAAAAAUGUUGUCCCUCUGUUCUUUGUGAAGGAUAAUGUGUAUGAAUAAAUAUAUGACAAAAGUGAUAA
This is a long non-coding RNA of Carassius carassius (crucian carp), 2474 nucleotides long. RefSeq lists it as uncharacterized. The transcript is spliced from 2 exons. The record is from RefSeq and is a predicted model, not a curated record. NCBI's taxonomy places the organism in Eukaryota, Metazoa, Chordata, Actinopteri, Cypriniformes, Cyprinidae.